CAGGGAGUGGCAGAGGAGUACAACAGACUGAAGAACAUUAAAAGAACUCCUGAUUACCAAACCAAGAAGAUUGAAACCAAACAACUUAGGAACAAACUGUUUCAUAUCAAAAGGAUGGUGAAUGAUUAUGACAAAGGAAGGGGUUGAUUAUCAGGAACAAACAUGCAAUAUCUGAAAUAACCCCUAGAGGGCAACCAAUGCUGGCAGUUCAAGCAAAGGCAAUUGAAUUUUAAUAAGAACGCUUCUAAGGAUUGAUAUUAGAGAUGAGCGAAUUUCCGGUUAUGAAAUUCGUUUGCGAUUAGUUUACUGGUAAAAGGUGAAUUGCGUUAUGGAUUCUGUUACCAUAACGGAAUAAAUAACGCAAUUCACCUUUUACCAGUAAACGAAGCGUGAACGAAUUUCAAAAUAUUAAAUUUGCUCAUCUCUAAUUGAUAUGUAUACAUACUGUAUUUAUAUAAUUUUAUCUAUAGAUAUACAUACAUAGACAUAUAGAUAUAGAUAGUAAUUGGAGACUAGCUCGAUUUCAGUCUAUUUAAAGUUUGGAAGGUUAAAAUGUUGGUCUCCAUCUCACAAUGGGACUUUACUUGGAAGUGCAUUUUGCAAUGGCCAAUGGAAUAACAACCAAUUGUCUCUUCAUAAACUGAAACAUCAUGCCCCAUUUUCCAUGUUCUGAAAUUCCUUCACUGUCUACAUUAGUGCCCCAGGGUUUGACCUUUUACACUGUAUAGAUUAUUUGCUAUAAAUAUACGAAUACAUAUUUGAUAAACUGAAACUUUUUGUAUAAUUUUUUGCUAAAUUUUCACGCACAUAUCUGUGAUGCAGGUUAUAAAAAUGAUGUAAGAAUGUGACCAUAGCUAUAUAGAACAUCUAUUUUUAUUGUCAUACCAGCAACUUGUACGCUUUUCUUUUAUUAUUAACUUUGAAAAAACAUGUGUUGAGAAU
Molecule: long non-coding RNA, 942 nt
Organism: Bufo bufo (common toad)
Lineage: Eukaryota; Metazoa; Chordata; Amphibia; Anura; Bufonidae
Exons: 2
Source: RefSeq, a predicted model, not a curated record